CCCCUACGGGAGGCAGCAGUGAGGAAUAUUGGACAAUGGAGGAGACUCUGAUCCAGCAAUUCUGUGUGCACGAAGACGGUUUUCGAAUUGUAAAGUGCUUUCAGCAGGGAAGAAGAAAGUGACGGUACCUGCAGAAGAAGCGACGGCUAAAUACGUGCCAGCAGCCGCGGUAAUGGGG
This 178-nucleotide ribosomal RNA is filed under the name uncultured bacterium. RNAcentral's name for it is "partial 16S ribosomal RNA". It matches the Rfam family "Bacterial small subunit ribosomal RNA", at positions 336 to 528 of the family's 1533-position model. The record is from RNAcentral.